This 772-nucleotide long non-coding RNA is filed under the name Anas platyrhynchos platyrhynchos (common mallard). Its description in RNAcentral is "lncRNA (ENSAPLG00000018057.1)". The record is from RNAcentral. Lineage: Eukaryota; Metazoa; Chordata; Aves; Anseriformes; Anatidae.
UGGGAUUUCUGGCUUUAGGAUCACCCCAGACUUGGUUUUUGGCUUUAGGAUGGCCCCAAAUGUGGGGUUUUGAACUUUAGGAUGGCCCCAAAUGUGGGCUUUUGGCCUUUAGGAUCGCCCCUAAUGUGGUUUUGGGCUUUAGGAUUGCCCCCAUGGUGGGUUCCCAGCAUUAGGAUUGCCCUAAAUGUGGGGAUUCCUGUUUUGGGGUGAUCCUAAAUGUGGGAUUUCUGGCUUUAGGAUCACCCUGGACUUGUUUUUGGGCUUUAGGAUCAUCCCCAAUGUGGUUUUGGGCUUUAGGAUCGCCCCCAUGGUGGGUUCCCAGCUUUAGGAUUGCCCUAAAUGUGGGGAUUCCUGCUUUGGGGCGAUCCUAAAUGUGGGAUUUCUGGCUUUAGGAUCACCCCAGACUUGGUUUCUGGCUUUAGGAUGGCCCCAAAUAUGGGGUUUUGGGCUUUAAGAUAAUCCCCAAUGUGGUUUUGGGCUUUAGGAUCGUCCCCUGGGGGGGGUUCCCGGCUUUAGGAUUGCCCCAAAUGCGGGGUUUUAGGCUUUAGGAUCACCCCAAAUGUGGGAUUUAUGGCUUUAGACUCCCUCCCACCAUACUCCCGCCUUCGGAAUCGCCCCGAACGUGGGGUUUGGGGCUUUUAGGAUCGCCUUUAGGGCAGCACUCACACGGCGUUGUCCUUGUAGUGCCGCAGCGCCUGCUCGGCCACGCUCUGCAUGAAGCGGGGAUCGUCCCAGGGGAUGUCCUCGGGCACCCUUAGGGCCAGGGGCUCCC